Molecule: ribosomal RNA, 879 nt
Filed under: Triticum aestivum (bread wheat)
Lineage: Eukaryota; Viridiplantae; Streptophyta; Magnoliopsida; Poales; Poaceae
Description: partial small subunit ribosomal RNA
Source: RNAcentral
AUGAAGAUGGCGACUUGCAUUCGUAAGGUGGCCUCGGAGGAGUUUGGAGUGUCCAGGGGAAGGAGAAGCGAAGAUAAGGAUACCUGGUGGUGGAAUGAUGAUGUCCAGAAGGUGCUUAAAGAGAAGAAAGAUUGCUUCAGACGCCUAUACCUGGAUAGGAGUGCAGACAACAUAGAGAAGUACAAGAUGGCGAAGAAGGCCGCAAAGCGAGCUGUUGGUGAAGCAAGGGGUCGGGCAUAUGAGGACCUCUACCAACGGUUAGGCACGAAGGAAGGUGAAAGGGACAUCUAUAAGAUGGCUAAGAUCCGGGAGAGGAAGAUGAGGGAUAUUGGCCAAGUCAAAUGCAUCAAGGACGGAGCAGGCCAACUCUUGGUGAAGGACGAAGAGAUUAAGCAUAGAUGGCGGGAGUACUUCGACAAGCUGUUCAAUGGGGAGAAUGAGAGUUCUACCAUUGAACUGAAUGACUCCUUUGAUGAGACCAGCAUGCGUUUUGUGCGGCGCAUCCAGGAGUCUGAGGUGAAGGAGGCUUUAAAAAGGAUGAAAGGAGGCAAGGCGAUGGGCCCUGAUUGUAUCCCCAUUGAGGUGUGGAAAGGUCUCGGGGACAUAGCGAUAGUAUGGCUAACCAAGCUUUUCAACCUCAUUUUUCGGGCAAACAAGAUGCCAGAAGAAUGGAGACGGAGUAUAUUAGUACCAAUCUUCAAGAACAAGGGGGAUGUUCAGAGUUGUACUAAUUACCAUGGAAUUAAGCUGAUGAGCCAUACAAUGAAGCUAUGGGAGAGAGUCAUUGAGCACCGCUUGAGAAGAAUGACAAGCGUGACCAAAAAUCAGUUUGGUUUCAUGCCUGGGAGGUCGACCAUGGAAGCCAUUUUCUUGGUAUGA